GGUGCUAUAGUGUAGUGGUUAUCACUCGGGAUUUUGAUGUCAAUGUGCCAGGGCUCGAACCAGGCAGAUAAAUUUCCCGGAACCCAGGUUCGAGCCCUGGUAGCACCU
Fomitopsis serialis is the source of this 108-nucleotide non-coding RNA. The record is from the annotation of a RefSeq genome assembly. NCBI's taxonomy places the organism in Eukaryota, Fungi, Basidiomycota, Agaricomycetes, Polyporales, Fomitopsidaceae.